Chenopodium quinoa (quinoa) is the source of this 348-nucleotide long non-coding RNA. RefSeq lists it as uncharacterized. The record is from RefSeq and is a predicted model, not a curated record. Lineage: Eukaryota; Viridiplantae; Streptophyta; Magnoliopsida; Caryophyllales; Amaranthaceae. The transcript has 3 exons.
UUCAUAUUUCAAAUCUAGUUGUUAUUUUUAUAGGUGAAGAUGCUUCACUUAGUUUGCCACAAUCGUUGAGAAAUAUUUCCUUUGGAGAAGAGGUCCCAGCAUCAUCAACAAAUGUGUUUCAUCCUCCCGGAGAAAAAACUUCCGAAGCUUUAUUGAAGAAGAAUGGUUGAAUGUGACUGUCCAACAAUUACUGGCUUAGUUCAAAGAAAGCCUGGUCGUGGUGCCACGACUUCUUCUGUUAGCUGUUCUGACAAAAUAGCACGCUGGAAUGUUGUUGGAAUACAAGGUGCAAUGCUUUCCUACCUGCUCCAACCUGUUUAUAUUUCUUCAGUCACCAUUGGGCAAUCA